Molecule: ribosomal RNA, 484 nt
Filed under: uncultured bacterium
Lineage: Bacteria
Description: partial 16S ribosomal RNA
Rfam family: Bacterial small subunit ribosomal RNA
Source: RNAcentral
AUUGAACGCUGGCGGCAGGCCUAACACAUGCAAGUCGAGCGGAAGAACGGUGCUUGCUUGCGGUUCCAGCGGGGGAAGGGGGUGAGAGGCAUGGGAAUAUCCUUGGCUGCGGUGUAGAACGUCCUGAAGCAGGCGCGAAUACUGCAUAAGCGCAGACGGCGUAAGUGGGGGAGCGUCGGACCUUACGCCCUCACGUGAGUGUAGGCCGGGAUAGCUAGUUGGUGGGGUGAAGGGCUACCAAGCCGACGAUGCGUAGCUGGUCGGCGUGGAUGAUCGGCCACACUGGAGCUGGGACACGGUCCAGGCUCCUACGGGAGGGCGCAGUGGGGAAUAUGAGACAAUGGGCGGGAGCCUGGUCCAGCCAUCCCGCGUGUGUGAAGAAGGUCUUCGGUUUGUAAAGCACUUUUUGUGGGAAGGAAGCGCAGUAGGUUAAUACCUUGCUGUUUUGACGUUACCGACAGAAUAAGCACCGGCUAACUUCGUG